AUUUUCUCGGUGUUAGGCACAAGAAGAUUUGAGCUUCUUAGAGGUACUACAGUUACCAGAAAAUA
This 65-nucleotide transfer RNA is filed under the name Ascobulla fragilis. Its description in RNAcentral is "tRNA-Gln". The record is from RNAcentral. Lineage: Eukaryota; Metazoa; Mollusca; Gastropoda; Volvatellidae.